AAGGGCACCACAAGAACGCGUGGAGCAUGUGGCUUAAUUUGACUCAACGCGGGAAAUCUUACCGGGUCCGGACACACUGAGGAUUGACAGACAAAUACACACACUUUUACGGUGUGUGCAUGAAAUAUGCUAGUUCUUUCAUGAUUAUGUGAUAGGUGGUGCAUGGCCGUUCUUAGUUCGUGGAGUGAUCUGUCUGCUUAAUUGCGUUUCACUAAAGGCACAUACACAUAAUAUUGAUGUGUUGUGUGUAUAAUUUAUAAUUAUACGCAUACACACAUAUUAUAUUGUGCUUUGAAAGCAACGAACGUGACCGCAACCUCUUGUUGCCUGUAUAUAUGUGUAUUUUAUACACACCACAGGCUAUUAUAAACUAGAGGGACCGCUGUUACUUUCUUUUAAACCAGAGGAAGGUUGCGGCAAUAACAGGUCUGUGAUGCCCUUAGAUGUUCCGGGCUGCACACGUGCUACAAUGAUCAUUGCAGUGCGCAUCUCAUUUUGUUAUACACUGCUUGUGCGUAUGUGCAUCACAAUAUUUAUAUGUGUGUGUGUAUGUAUUGCACGCAGUAAAGCCUACUUCGAAAGUUGUGGGUAAUCAAUUUGAAGUAAUGAUUUCUCCAAAUAUAUACUGCACACUCAUAUACAGUGUCUUAUGUCCAUGAAAAUAUUUUAUUUUUGUGUGUGCAUUCGAUGCUCGUAUGUGCAAUUGUCAAUUCAUGGUGGGGACAGACCAUUGUUAAUUGUUGGUCUCGGUCUUAACUAGGAAUGCCUUGUACGGGUCUUUGGUUCAACAAACCACCCGGAAUACGUCCCUGCCCUUUGUACACACCGCCCGUCGCUCUUACCGAUGGACUUCUCUGUGAGUUUGAGGGACUGGAUUUUAUAUCUAUGGAAACUCAAACGAACAGUGUGGUCUAAAGGAAAGAGAAGUCGUAACAAGGCAUCCGUAGGUGAACCU
This 955-nucleotide ribosomal RNA is filed under the name Haynesina sp. S16. Its description in RNAcentral is "SSU rRNA". It matches the Rfam family "Eukaryotic small subunit ribosomal RNA", at positions 1160 to 1816 of the family's 1831-position model. The record is from RNAcentral. Lineage: Eukaryota; Foraminifera; Rotaliida; Nonionidae.